Molecule: long non-coding RNA, 287 nt
Organism: Corapipo altera (White-ruffed manakin)
Lineage: Eukaryota; Metazoa; Chordata; Aves; Passeriformes; Pipridae
Exons: 3
Source: RefSeq, a predicted model, not a curated record
CUCGGUGGCCCGGGCCUCGCUCUACGACAUGCAGCGCUUCGAGCGGGACCCCUACGGGGAGCGGGCGCGCUAUUCCGCCUUCUGAGGGUCGCCGUGGAGCCCCCCCGGGACUCGCCAACGCUGCCGUGGCCUCGCGGCCCCCGGACGCCGACACUGCGUCAGGUGUGGCCCCGGACGGAGCCGCGUCCCCCCCCCCCCUGAGCCCCCCCUUUUUGUACGGCGCUCCCCCGGCCCCCCCCGGGUCACCCCCGGCCUCGCCCGCCCGUUUUCCAGCAAAAUAAACGUUU